AACGAACGCUGGCGGCAGGCUUAACACAUGCAAGUCGAGCGCACCGCAAGGUGAGCGGCAGACGGGUGAGUAACGCGUGGGAAUCUACCCAACCCUAAGGAAUAACCCAGGGAAACUUGGACUAAUACCGUAUACGCCCUUUUGGGGAAAGAUUUAUCGGGGAUGGAUGAGCCCGCGUUGGAUUAGCUAGUUGGUGGGGUAAAGGCCUACCAAGGCGACGAUCCAUAGCUGGUCUGAGAGGAUGAUCAGCCACAUUGGGACUGAGACACGGCCCAAACUCCUACGGGCGGCAGCAGUGGGGAAUAUUGGACAAUGGGCGCAAGCCUGAUCCAGCCAUGCCGCGUGAGUGAUGAAGGCCUUAGGGUUGUAAAGCUCUUCAGUAGGGAAGAUAAUGACGGUACCUACAGAAGAAGCCCCGGCUAACUUCGUG
Molecule: ribosomal RNA, 430 nt
Filed under: uncultured bacterium
Lineage: Bacteria
Description: partial 16S ribosomal RNA
Rfam family: Bacterial small subunit ribosomal RNA
Source: RNAcentral